Molecule: long non-coding RNA, 1029 nt
Filed under: Callithrix jacchus (white-tufted-ear marmoset)
Lineage: Eukaryota; Metazoa; Chordata; Mammalia; Primates; Cebidae
Description: lncRNA (ENSCJAG00000081593.1)
Source: RNAcentral
GAAAUGUUUUGAGCACCGAUAUGGUGCCACUUGUGGAAAAUUCUAUUUCUUACCUCGCGUGAUGGGUCACAGUCCAAACACAAUCCAAACUUUGUUUCAUGAACAAAAUUAUUUAAGAAUACCAUAUAAAAUUGCCUUCUGGCUAUGUGUAUAAGAUACAUGUGAAAUAUAAAUGAAUUUCAUGUUUAGACUUGGGUCCUAUCCCCAAUAUAUCUCAUUAUGUAUAUGCAAAUAUUCCCAAAUCUGAAUAAAUGCCAAAUUCAAAAGACUUCUGGUCCCAAGCAUUUUGGAUAAGGGAUACUCAACCUGUACCUUCUCCCUGAAGCCUUCUGUACUAUCUCUCAUUGUAAGGAAUCCCAACCGCCACUGCCUUCCAAAUGUUCCUCUGUCAUAGCACUUGGUCUGGCCAGUCUUGUGUUAGUUCUUGCUGAUAGAUUUUCCUUCCCCAUUAUGCUGUGAGUUCCUGACAGCCAGAACCUCUGCCUGCUUUGUGUUUAUAACCUAGAGAGAUAAACUGAGUGGCAGAAUAACUUCAUGGAGCCCUUGGGGUUGAUGGUGUCCUACUUUAAUCUUUCACAGGGACCUGGAAUAUUUAUGGCAACCUGGGCAGGAGGCAGGGCUGGGACAAGGAUGAGGCUGCCACCAGUGCACCAUUGACAGAACUACCCAGAAACCAGCUGGCAAGAGGGCCUCGCCAUCCCUGCAAGACACAGCAGAGCACGGGAAAGGUGGGGAAUGAAUGGCAAAUGAGAAGCCCACAGUUAGUAGCUGAGGCUUUCAAAUAAGAGCAUUGUUGAUCCGAUGCUAAAAGAGGACAUCACCACAUGAAUAUAUUGGAGACAAAAAAUUGAUAGGCUAGGUAUUUCUUAGGUCAAGCAAUAUUCUGUCUAGCAAGACAACUAUGAGUUCAUAGCACAAUCAUAGAUUUUACUUCUGCUUAGCAAUCAUGUCUGUUUUGGUUUGUUUAUUUGACUGUGUUUCAUAUCCUUGGGCUGUCUGUCCUUUCUCUUUUAACCUAGAACCCUGGGG